Molecule: ribosomal RNA, 385 nt
Filed under: Clostridioides difficile
Lineage: Bacteria; Bacillati; Bacillota; Clostridia; Peptostreptococcales; Peptostreptococcaceae
Description: bacterial SSU rRNA
Rfam family: Bacterial small subunit ribosomal RNA
Source: RNAcentral
AUAACCUGGAGGAAGGUGGGGAUGACGUCAAAUCAUCAUGCCCCUUAUGCUUAGGGCUACACACGUGCUACAAUGGGUAGUACAGAGGGUUGCCAAGCCGUAAGGUGGAGCUAAUCCCUUAAAGCUACUCUCAGUUCGGAUUGUAGGCUGAAACUCGCCUACAUGAAGCUGGAGUUACUAGUAAUCGCAGAUCAGAAUGCUGCGGUGAAUGCGUUCCCGGGUCUUGUACACACCGCCCGUCACACCACGGGAGUUGGAGACGCCCGAAGCCGAUUAUCUAACCUGUUGGAAGAAGUCGUCGAAGGUGGAAUCAAUAACUGGGGUGAAGUCGUAACAAGGUAGCCGUAUCGGAAGGUGCGGCUGGAUCACCUCCUUUCUAAGGAGA